This 468-nucleotide ribosomal RNA is filed under the name uncultured bacterium. Its description in RNAcentral is "partial 16S ribosomal RNA". It matches the Rfam family "Bacterial small subunit ribosomal RNA", at positions 28 to 507 of the family's 1533-position model. The record is from RNAcentral.
GACGAACGCUGGCGGCGUGCUUAACACAUGCAAGUCGAACGGAAAGGCCCUGCUUUUGUGGGGUGCUCGAGUGGCGAACGGGUGAGUAACACGUGAGUAACCUGCCCUUGACUUUGGGAUAACUUCAGGAAACUGGGGCUAAUACCGGAUAGGAGCUCCUGCUGCAUGGUGGGGGUUGGAAAGUUUCGGCGGUUGGGGAUGGCCUCGCGGCUUAUCAGCUUGUUGGUGGGGUAGUGGCUUACCAAGGCUUUGAAGGGUAGCCGGCCUGAGCGGGUGACCGGCCACAUUGGGACUGAGAUACGGCCCAGACUCCUACGGGAGGCAGCAGUGGGGAAUAUUGCACAAUGGGCGGAAGCCUGAUGCAGCAACGCCGCGUGCGGGAUGACGGCCUUCGGGUUGUAAACCGCUUUCGCCUGUGACGAAGCGUGAGUGACGGUAAUGGGUAAAGAAGCACCGGCUAACUACGUG